This 443-nucleotide long non-coding RNA is filed under the name Cyanistes caeruleus (blue tit). RNAcentral's name for it is "lncRNA (ENSCCEG00000013945.1)". The record is from RNAcentral. Lineage: Eukaryota; Metazoa; Chordata; Aves; Passeriformes; Paridae.
UGAAUUUGAUUUAGAGACAUCAGCAAAGGAGUGACACGGCUUCCCUAGCAUGGUUGUCUAUGCCAGUUCAGAUUCCGACCCCACACAUUGCUGAAAUGAGCCAACGUCAAGCCAGAGCUUGCACAAGGAAACAAGCAAAUUAAAUUUGAAAGGCGAAGAGGACACUCUGCUGCCAGAAUUAAAAAUGCCUACAACAGGGAUCUAUUCAAGAGGAGACAUUGAACUGUUGGGUCUGAAUUAACUUGUCCCUUGGUGCGAGAAGGUAAGAUCCCUGUCAGGCAGGAGAAGGAAAGAUCAGCAUCUGACUUUUGUGCCUGUGUGAGCCUUCUGGGACCCCUCCAAUGAGUAACACUUGUACAGCCAUAGAGCAGAGGAGGAAAUGUCUCAGUUCAGGUCCAUAGGUGCUGUGUGGUGGGAGGUGGAAGUGCCCUGGCAUGCCUGAU